UCCCGGCCCGUCCCGUGAGGCGGCGCGGCAGCAUGGAGGGCCGGCUGCCCUACGAUGACUUCCCGGUGGUGUUCCUGCCGCCCUACGAGAGCCCGCCCGCCUGGGUGCCGCCGCAUGAGAGGGUGUACCACCCCGACUACAACAACGAGCUCACCCAGUUCCUGCCCCGCACCAUCGUCUUGAAGAAGCCGCCCGGGGCGCAGCUGGGCUUCAACAUCCGAGGAGGAAAAGCCUCGCAGCUGGGGAUCUUCAUCUCUAAGGUGAUCCCCGACUCAGAUGCACACAGGGCUGGGCUGCAGGAAGGUGACCAGGUGCUCUCAGUAAAUGAUGUGGAUUUCCAGGACAUUGAGCACAGCAAGGCUGUGGAGAUCCUGAAGACAGCCCGUGAGAUCACCAUGCGUGUGCGUUACUUCCCCUACAAGUUCAUAGAUAUAAUGGAGGGGGAGGAAGGUCAGGUCAAGCCAAACAAGGAUUCUUUAUAAAAUGGAAACUGACUCUCAAGUGAAGAAAGAAGAAAAACAGAGAGCAGAGGAAGAGACUUCAAACUUUCAAUGCCCUAAAAUAACAUGAAAUGAGUGGCUGGGGUGCAAAUACUACUUUAAAGCCAGCUGCUACCCAAGAGGGUAGCAAACACUGUCUCUACUUAGUGAGCCUUGCCUUUCCCUUCCAGAUUACCAGAGACAGAAGGAAAGAACUGUUCACUAGCAGGCAACUGUCUGCUGGGUUUCCAGAGGGGCCAUCCUGCUAAGGACUCUCCUUUUCCUCAACAUCUGAGAUGACAUACCGUGUUUCAGCUGUCACUGGAGGUACAACUGUUCUGUUGGCUGCACAGGCAUCAGCUGUUUCCUGCAUGGAGGGAUACCAAUGGAAUCUUAUUUAGUUGGAAGAUGGACAGGGCUUUAGUCUGUACUCCUUGAACUGGAUGUUGAAACAAGCUGUUGAAGCUGAUGUGCACGUGGGUACCAGAGGGCAGGUUCUCUGGCAAGAUCUGUGCUUCUCUUCUAGCACAACUUGAAUUAAAUGAGGGCACUGCUGGUUCUGGAUCCAACCCUCGUUACUAGAUACAAGGCAAGAGGGUAUGAGCAUGCUGGAGCACAGCACAGCCUUCGUCCUCCAAGAGAUCAACCUGUUCACUUUUCUGGUACCAUGAAGUUCUUUCCUUCUCUACUGUCCUACCUCUGCUACUCCCUACUGGGUUUACUUUGGACUCAAGAACAGGAGUAAAAUCCACUCAAACUCAGUUCACAUAUCUCACUGCACUAGUCUGCCAAGGCAGGUUUGUACCUCUGUGCUGCUUAGCCACCCCCCACACUACAGGACCGAGAUGCUCUCAGCAUGUUUGUGAACUGCUGUAGGUGCUUGACUGGGUUCCUCCCAGGGCAGCAUCGGCACGGUUGAGGGUUUCACGCACGGAACCUGCUUUCUUCACUUGACAUAGUCCUGUCGUGUGCUACUCCGCACGGUAGUACCACAUACUAAGUGGUAUCAGGACAGCCCUUGCGCCGUGGCUAUCUGUGUGGUGUUUUCUGCUUAUCUGUAAUAACUGAAAUAAUAAAAAGUACAGCAACCAGA
RNA transcript from Pezoporus occidentalis (night parrot), 1572 nucleotides. It is a transcript of the gene named PDZ domain containing 11, with no coding region annotated. The transcript is spliced from 7 exons. NCBI's taxonomy places the organism in Eukaryota, Metazoa, Chordata, Aves, Psittaciformes, Psittacidae. The record is from RefSeq and is a predicted model, not a curated record.